RNAcentral lists this long non-coding RNA (756 nucleotides) under Olea europaea (common olive). Its description in RNAcentral is "long non-coding RNA (OEUR_LNC014181)". The record is from RNAcentral. Lineage: Eukaryota; Viridiplantae; Streptophyta; Magnoliopsida; Lamiales; Oleaceae.
GGAGAUUAACUAGAAAACAAUUGAUUAAGUAAUAAAUGUCUAAAAAGUCAGCUUCAAUAGUAAGAGUAGCGCCAAUCUUUACAUAUUGAGUACUAUCUUGAGAUUUGACUAGAGUGAAAUUUACCCUCAACAACUUCCCAAUGUCCAACUUUGAAUAUCCUAAAAUGGCAUUAAACUCUCUCUUGAUGAUUACGGAAAAUUAAAUGUAGAGUCAAAAUAUAGCUAGAUGAACAUGAAAGUGAUUGAUUCUAGUAUGUUAACAUUGUCCAAAUUUUCUCAUUCGCUAGAAAUAAAAGUUAACAAAACACCACCUUUUUCGAGUUUCAACACACUCCACACCCUCUCCAAAGACUUGAGCAAAGUUUACCAACUUGGUCGCGAUUCACUCUUACCAUUUAAGCUGGUUCUUGAUCUCUUCCGAAAUCACACCCUUAAUAACAUAAGUAUCGAACAUUUUUGGAAUAUUAGUCGAGUUCUUCCUCCCCCGAAGAUGAGAAGCGAGGUAAAUCUUAUUAAGCAACUUCACUUUACAUAUAUGGCACCACAGUUCAGGUGUCUGAUUACUGCCAGCACCAUUUAGAUUUGUUUGCUCCUGGGUCUGUCGAUCACUUUCCACAUGAGGUUGAAUUAUUUCCUCUGUUUUUCUGUCCAAAUUUGCGUUGAUUUAUGAGUCGUGGAUGGUAAAGAACCUCUGCUUUUCGUAUCUUGUUUGCUUCCUUUCAGUGCUUCGCACUUGGACUUGUGCUGAUUCCCCUC